AGUGAGCGGCAAAGCUCAAAUUUGAAAUCUAGCACCUUCGGUGUUCGAGUUGUAAUUUGAAGAUGGUAACCUUGGGUUUGGCUCUUGUCUAUGUUCCUUGGAACAGGACGUCAUAGAGGGUGAGAAUCCCGUCUGAUGAGAUGCCCAUUCCUAUGUAAGGUGCUAUCGAAGAGUCGAGUUGUUUGGGAAUGCAGCUCUAAGUGGGUGGUAAAUUCCAUCUAAAGCUAAAUAUUGGCGAGAGACCGAUAGCGAACAAGUACAGUGAUGGAAAGAUGAAAAGAACUUUGAAAAGAGAGUGAAAAAGUACGUGAAAUUGUUGAAAGGGAAGGGCAUUAGAUCAGACUUGGUGUUUUACGAUUAUCUUCUCUUCUUGAGUUGUGCACUCGUAUUUCACUGGGCCAGCAUCGAUUCGGAUGGCAAGAUAAUGGCAGUUGAAUGUGGCUUCACUUCGGUGGAGUGUUAUAGCUUCUGCUGAUAUUGCCUGUCUGGAUCGAGGGCUGCGUCUUUUGACUAGGAUGCUGGCGUAAUGAUCUAAUGCCUCCCGUCUUGAAACAACGGACCAA
This 563-nucleotide ribosomal RNA is filed under the name Hansenula anomala. RNAcentral describes it as "eukaryotic LSU rRNA". It matches the Rfam family "Eukaryotic large subunit ribosomal RNA", at positions 92 to 669 of the family's 3401-position model. Lineage: Eukaryota; Fungi; Ascomycota; Saccharomycetes; Phaffomycetales; Wickerhamomycetaceae. The record is from RNAcentral.